AUACGGAGGGUGCGAGCGUUAAGCGGAAUUACUGGGCGUAAAGCGCGCGUAGGUGGUUUGAUAAGUCGGAUGUGAAAGCCCCGGGCUCAACCUGGGAACUGCAUUCGAAACUGUCUGACUAGAGUAUGGUAGAGGGAAGUGGAAUUCCGGGUGUAGCGGUGAAAUGCGUAGAUAUCCGGAGGAACAUCAGUGGCGAAGGCGACUUCCUGGACCAAUACUGACGCUGAGGUGCGAAAGCUAGGGGAGCAAACGGGAUUAGAUACCCCGGUAGUCC
Molecule: ribosomal RNA, 274 nt
Filed under: uncultured bacterium
Lineage: Bacteria
Description: partial 16S ribosomal RNA
Rfam family: Bacterial small subunit ribosomal RNA
Source: RNAcentral